GAAUGCUGACAUAAGUAACGAUAAAGCGGGUGAAAAGCCCGCUCGCCGGAAGACCAAGGGUUCCUGUCCAACGUUAAUCGGGGCAGGGUGAGUCGACCCCUAAGGCGAGGCCGAAAGGCGUAGUCGAUGGGAAACAGGUUAAUAUUCCUGUACUUGGUGUUACUGCGAAGGGGGGACGGAGAAGGCUAUGUUGGCCGGGCGACGGUUGUCCCGGUUUAAGCGUGUAGGCUGGUUUUCCAGGCAAAUCCGGAAAACCAAGGCUGAGGCGUGAUGACGAGGCACUACGGUGCUGAAGCGACAAAUGCCCUGCUUCCAGGAAAAGCCUCUAAGCAUCAGGUAACAUCAAAUCGUACCCCAAACCGACACAGGUGGUCAGGUAGAGAAUACCAAGGCGCUUGAGAGAACUCGGGUGAAGGAACUAGGCAAAAUGGUGCCGUAACUUCGGGAGAAGGCACGCUGAUAUGUAGGUGAAGCGACUUGCUCGUGGAGCUGAAAUCAGUCGAAGAUACCAGCUGGCUGCAACUGUUUAUUAAAAACACAGCACUGUGCAAACACGAAAGUGGACGUAUACGGUGUGACGCCUGCCCGGUGCCGGAAGGUU
RNAcentral lists this ribosomal RNA (601 nucleotides) under Escherichia coli. Its description in RNAcentral is "partial 23S ribosomal RNA". It matches the Rfam family "Bacterial large subunit ribosomal RNA", at positions 1292 to 1878 of the family's 2925-position model. The record is from RNAcentral. Lineage: Bacteria; Pseudomonadati; Pseudomonadota; Gammaproteobacteria; Enterobacterales; Enterobacteriaceae.